Molecule: small nuclear RNA, 21 nt
Filed under: Arabidopsis thaliana (thale cress)
Lineage: Eukaryota; Viridiplantae; Streptophyta; Magnoliopsida; Brassicales; Brassicaceae
Description: snRNA_10095
Source: RNAcentral
UUGUUACACACACUGAAGCUU